UACGUAGGGUGCAAGCGUUGUCCGGAAUUAUUGGGCGUAAAGAGCUCGUAGGCGGUUUGUCGCGUCUGCUGUGAAAACUCGGGGCUUAACCCCGGGCCUGCAGUGGGUACGGGCAGACUAGAGUGCGGUAGGGGAGACUGGAAUUCCUGGUGUAGCGGUGAAAUGCGCAGAUAUCAGGAGGAACACCGGUGGCGAAGGCGACUCACUGGCCCGAUACUGACGCUGAGGCGCGAAAGCGUGGGGAGCAAACAGG
RNAcentral lists this ribosomal RNA (253 nucleotides) under uncultured bacterium. RNAcentral's name for it is "partial 16S ribosomal RNA". It matches the Rfam family "Bacterial small subunit ribosomal RNA", at positions 524 to 776 of the family's 1533-position model. The record is from RNAcentral.